Long non-coding RNA from Pyrus x bretschneideri (Chinese white pear), 3642 nucleotides. RefSeq lists it as uncharacterized. NCBI's taxonomy places the organism in Eukaryota, Viridiplantae, Streptophyta, Magnoliopsida, Rosales, Rosaceae. The record is from RefSeq and is a predicted model, not a curated record. The transcript has 10 exons.
UAGCUUGACAUGGUGAAACGUUAUGUUUUCAAUUAAGUAUUUGACACUUCUUGUCAGUUAUCAAUAAAUGAAUUGAGGUUAAUUUAAAUCGUCUUUGUUUUGAGUUUGGAUAUAAUUAUAGGUAGGUUAUGUGAAAUGAGCAAGGACAUGAUUCGGGAAUAGAGGCAUUUGUUCAAUUCAUUCUCAAUUCUUCUCAUUCCGUCUGUUUAAAGCUGGGGUUUUGGGUGUUUUCUCUGGCCUGGUAAGAUUGGUUUUCAAGAUUUCUGGGGUUGUGAUAAGGCCUGAAUAUUUAGCGGUUUUUUCGUUUGUUUCUGUGUGAUUUGCACUGAUUGUGGUCAAAUCAAUUUCCGAUUUUGUUUUCCGUUUGAGCACCGGUGGUUUUUGCAUCUCUGGGAAGUUAAUUUUCUGCAACUGAGCUCUGAUCAUAUGAUAGGGUUUUCCUGGCUAAGAGGAUAUUCUGCGGUUUGGUUCCUCGCUUGGUCAGUCGCAGAUUUACCGACGGUUCCGGCGAUCCUGUUAUUUUUUGGAAGCAGUUCAUUGAGUUGGAUGUAAUUUUGUUGAACUUGAAAAUCAUUUGAUCUUCAGGGCGACCAAUUAUACGUACUGGAAACAAUACUGGUUACAAAGUUUUCAUACCAAGGAUUACUCUUGCAGCAACAGAGAAAUAAAUGAUGCAAUCAGAUCAAACGUAACAUAUACAACAACAUUAAACUUAGGUUCAUAUUCCUCAAUUUAUCUUAAUGCAUUGGAAAAAUUGCACCUCCACAGCCAAGCACCCAUGGUGUUCAUCACUCACUCAGCUACGCGGUUCAUUGUCUCCUUUGUUUCUCAUACAAGAACAUUCCUGUAACAAUUAAUGGUAUGUUAAAAAUAUUUUAAUUUAUUCCCUUUUCCAUAAAUGCUUUCUGCUUAAAUUAAAUUUUUACUAAUCUUUCUCUUCAGUGGAACUGAUUGUUACACAUAUAUAUAUAUCCACAGUAUUUGCUUUUUAUUUGCUUUUAAUACAUCAUUAAUUACUUGCCUACACAUAAAUGGAUUCAGUUGGACAUCCAAAAGUGUUAUCAAAGAUGUUGUAAACAAAAAUGUAUCCACUCCAUGACCCUUGGUUGAACAAAAAAAACACAUCACCAAUAAAAGCAAUUGUUUAAUUUAUCUAUACAACAUUCUUAUUAUUGGUUAGAUAGAUUAAACAAUUCUCCACUUCAUUUUGUGUUCUUUUGUUCAAUCAAAGGAUAGCCAUAAAAUAUACCUAUGGUUAAAGAGUCUAGAUUCAUACUUUAGGAUAUCCAUCUUAUAUCCCUCAAUGAAUAGGUAAGAAACUUAUUGUGUAUUUAUAGCAAGUGAAAAGAAGAAACUAUUUGUUUAUGUAUUGGUAACAGUCAGUUCCUCUGAAGAGGAAAGACGGACAUGAUCAUAAUGCCAAGCAAAAUUAAAGUUCAAACAUCACCCCAAAUUAUAUCUUUGUAUGCCAUAAAUAUACAAAAUAAGGCAUAUCGGAUCCAUCCCUCAACGUCCUUUGUUACCAUUUUUACAAUGAAAAAAGACAUAAUUCACCCUAUUUUUCCAUUAGUAAUUUCUAAUUUCCCUUCUGUUUCUUAUUUUCAAACUCAUUCCCCAGCCUGAUCAACAUCUUUACCUAUUUUUCCAUUGGUAAUUUGUAUUUUUAAUUAUUUUCCAUUCUUGCCUGAGUUUUUCUCACAACUUAUAGUGUACAACUUGCUUUCUUCAUUCUCUACACUAUGGAUUCGUGUCAUUUAAUUAGGAUACCGUAUGAUUACACAUUUUGCUAUAGUUUUUCAAAUGUCUUACAAUGGUUUUGCAUUACUGCUGAUAUCCUGCAUCUCCACCUUGCAGAAACUACAAGGUAUGCUUCCACUCCUCAUGAUCUGUAAAUUACUAUAUUUGUCAUUCAAAUAAUCUUAACAAACAUUAUGUAACCCAUGUUUACCUAAGAAAUCCAAAAUUACAAAAAAACAGAAAACAGCUAUAUAAAGAAAUGAACAUACACGAACCAACUCAUGCACAGUUUAUGUUACUGCAUUUGUUUCAGCAUUUUGGUGUUUGUUCAUUUGAUUGAAAUGCUGUUCCAUCCUUGCACAAAUUACAAGGUAUGCUCCAAUCAAUGCUUUGAUAAAUUCCAUUCAAAUUGAUACCAGUUAUCACUGCAUUUGAACAUGUUCUGUUUGACACGCGCAGCGUCGUGCGGGCACCAUUUCUAGUGUGUGUGUGUGUGUGUGUCUAUAUAUAUAUAUAUAUAUAUGAGGGAAGGGAUUCCCAUUUUUUUAUAAAAAUGAGGAUUAGUUGCGGGGUUCACACUAUAUCGAACUUUAAUGAUCCGAACCUUUUUUUUUUUCAAGUUGCACUUCAUAAAUCAUCCUUGCAAAAUAUUAGCCAAAUCGGAAAUGUUUAAGACAUCUAACUGAGUUUAAAGAAAUUAACGAAUACUUUGUUAUAUAAGAAACAAUGAAAUUUGAUCAUAAGGAUGAUCUACGAAUCGAGACUUACAAAAUAGACGGUUCAGAUCGUUGAAGUUCGAUUUGGAGUGAGCCUCACACGUAAUCCUCGUGUUUUGAAAAAAAAUGAGGAUCCCUUUGCAUAAAGGGCUGUAUAUAUAUAUAGGUUCAAGCUAAAUCACUCAUGGGCAACCAAAACUACUUGAUUUCCAACAUUUCUGCCACUAAAAAGUCCCACAAGAACUGCAGGAGCACUCUCAAGGCCUUAAGCUAUGUCUUCCAGAUACACUAUUUUCCCUUCUCUGAUGUAGGGGAUCACCAUGUCCAGAAACUUGGGGUAGAGGUGGAAAUAAUCAGACAUGACGAAGCCUUUGAUGCGAAUCUGAUUGUAGAUGAUAAAGACGAGGUUGCUGUAGUCUUGCUGCUGUUUGAGAUUUUAAUACGAGAUCAAUCCGCAUACCGCAAUUCGGCCAUGACAUCUCAUGUUAAUGAGCACAGCAUCCAGCAUUUUUCCUCCAACGUUCUCAAAGUGAAUGUCAAUGCCUUCAGGGAAGUACCUUUUCAAAGCUGCCUCCAGUAAUAUUUGACACUAAGUGGAAGGAGGAUAUGUACUUUAUGGAGAGGGAUUGGCAAUGCCACACAAUGGUCCAACCGCUUACUAGCAUCCCAUUAGCUUUGCAAACUGCCCAACAAGCUGACCAACUGCACCAGCUGCGGCAGAAACGAAGACAUAAUCUCCUUUCUUCGGCGAACAGAUUUCAUGAAAACCAAUGAAGGCAGUUAUACCCGGCAUGCCUAAAUGAUUCAAAGAAAUAAAGGAUUAAAUAGUGAUUGUACAAAGUAUGAACAUGUAUAACUCAUAGUUUUGAUGAAGAACUGGCACAUACCAAGAAGUCCAGUACAGUAGGCAAGGGGAACAUCAGUGUGGUGGAUUUUAAAGAGCUGUUCUGGCUCUGUGAAGAUGCUGUACUCUUCCCAUCCUGUUGUCCCCCAAACCAAGUCACCUUCCUUGAACUCCGGGUGCCCCGACUCCAAAAUUUUAGCCACACCAAACCCAUUUAAUGGCUGAAGAAAUGCAUCAACAAGUAUUUAUUUUCAGAUUUUUCAUGUAGUGAAUUCAGUUGUAACAUGCUUAAGCCAGAUGAUUGAAUCUCAACCCUCUAAAAUGAGAAAGCAUAGUGAUUUCAUA